UGAGGAAUAUUGGUCAAUGGGCGAGAGCCUGAACCAGCCAAGUAGCGUGCAGGAUGACGGCCCUAUGGGUUGUAAACUGCUUUUAUAUGGGAAUAAAGUGAGGGACGUGUCCCUUAUUGCAUGUACCAUACGAAUAAGGACCGGCUAAUUCCGUGCCAGCAGCCGCGGUAAUACGGAAGGUCCAGGCGUUAUCCGGAUUUAUUGGGUUUAAAGGGAGCGUAGGCUGUUUGUUAAGCGUGUUGUGAAAUGUAAGAGCUCAACUUUUAGAUUGUAGCGCGAACUGGCAGACUUGAGUGCGCACAACGUAGGCGGAAUUCAUGGUGUAGCGGUGAAAUGCUUAGAUAUCAUGACGAACUCCGAUUGCGAAGGCAGCUUACGGGAGUGUUACUGACGCUUAAGCUCGAAGGUGCGGGUAUCGAACAGG
This 424-nucleotide ribosomal RNA is filed under the name Verrucomicrobiota bacterium. RNAcentral describes it as "Verrucomicrobia bacterium partial 16S ribosomal RNA". It matches the Rfam family "Bacterial small subunit ribosomal RNA", at positions 355 to 776 of the family's 1533-position model. The record is from RNAcentral. Lineage: Bacteria; Pseudomonadati; Verrucomicrobiota.